UGUUGCUUCUUCAAGGCCAGCAAGAGGCAGAGCCAGUCUGCUAGCAACACAGUCUUAUAAAGAGUUGUGUUGGGAGCUGUGACUAUGGACCUACAAGACAGAGAUCACAAGUAGGCAGAGAGGCAGGCAGAGAGAGAGAGGAGGAAGCAGACUCCCCGGGGAACAGAGAGCCCAAUGCCAGGCUCCAUCCCAGGACCCUGGGAUCAUGACCUGAGCUGAAGGCAGAGGCUUUAAACCACUGAGCCACCCAGGUGCCCCUUUUUUUUAA
Molecule: long non-coding RNA, 268 nt
Filed under: Mustela putorius furo (domestic ferret)
Lineage: Eukaryota; Metazoa; Chordata; Mammalia; Carnivora; Mustelidae
Description: lncRNA (ENSMPUG00000024217.1)
Source: RNAcentral